AUGCAAGUCGAACGCGCAGCAUUCUGUAGCAAUACAGGGUGUGGGCGCGUGGCGAACGGGUGCGUAACACGUGGAUAACCUUCCUUGAGGUGGGGAAUAACCCAGUGAAAAUUGGGCUAAUACCGCAUAACAUCGCGAUGGCACAUGCUGAUGCGAUCAAAGGCGCAAGUCGCCACAAGAGGGAUCCGCGGCCGAUUAGCUAGUUGGCGAGGUAAUGGCUCACCAAGGCAAUGAUCGGUAGCCGGACUGAGAGGUUGGCCGGCCACACUGGAACUGAGACACGGUCCAGACUCCUACGGGAGGCAGCAGUGGGGAAUCUUGCACAAUGGACGAAAGUCUGAUGCAGCAACGCCGCGUGGGGGAUGAAGCUUCUCGGAGUGUAAACCCCUUUCGACCCGGAAGAAUGCCCGCAAGGGUAUGACGGUACGGGUAUAAGAAGCCCCGGCUAACUACGUGCCAGCAGCCGCGGUAAUACGUAGGGGGCCAGCGUUGCUCGGAAUUACUGGGCGUAAAGGGUCCGUAGGCGGUGUAGCAAGUCGAUAGUGAAAUCUCUGGGCUUAACCCAGAGGCUGCUAACGAAACUGCUGUGCUAGAGUGUGAGAGAGGCGAGUGGAAUUACGGGUGUAGCGGUGA
Molecule: ribosomal RNA, 633 nt
Filed under: uncultured soil bacterium
Lineage: Bacteria
Description: bacterial SSU rRNA
Rfam family: Bacterial small subunit ribosomal RNA
Source: RNAcentral